UACGAAGGGGGCUAGCGUUGUUCGGAUUUACUGGGCGUAAAGCGCACGUAGGCGGAUCUUUUAAGUCAGAGGUGAAAUCCCAAGGCUCAACCUUGGAACUGCCUUUGAUACUGGGGAUCUUGAGUCCGGGAGAGGUGAGUGGAACUGCGAGUGUAGAGGUGAAAUUCGUAGAUAUUCGCAAGAACACCAGUGGCGAAGGCGGCUCACUGGCCCGGUACUGACGCUGAGGCACGAAAGCGUGGGGAGCAAACAGG
Molecule: ribosomal RNA, 254 nt
Filed under: uncultured bacterium
Lineage: Bacteria
Description: partial 16S ribosomal RNA
Rfam family: Bacterial small subunit ribosomal RNA
Source: RNAcentral